RNAcentral lists this ribosomal RNA (450 nucleotides) under uncultured bacterium. Its description in RNAcentral is "bacterial SSU rRNA". It matches the Rfam family "Bacterial small subunit ribosomal RNA", at positions 328 to 794 of the family's 1533-position model. The record is from RNAcentral.
CAGCCAGACUCCUACGGGAGGCAGCAGUGGGGGAUAUUGCACAAUGGGGGAAACCCUGAUGCAGCGACGCCGCGUGUGGGAAGACGGUCCUCUGGAUUGUAAACCACUGUCCCCAGGGACGAAAAUGACGGUACCUGGGGAGGAAGCUCCGGCUAACUACGUGCCAGCAGCCGCGGUAAUACGUAGGGGGCAAGCGUUAUCCGGAUUUACUGGGUGUAAAGGGAGCGUAGACGGCAAGGCAAGUCUGGAGUGAAAGCCCGUGGCCCAACCACGGGACUGCUUUGGAAACUGUGUUGCUGGAGUGCAGGAGGGGUAAGCGGAAUUCCUGGUGUAGCGGUGAAAUGCGUAGAUAUCAGGAGGAACACCGGCGGCGAAGGCGGCCUGCUGGACCGCGACUGACGUUGAGGCUCGAAAGCGUGGGGAGCGAACAGGAUUAGAUACCCGGGUAUA